AACGGCCUGCGUCGUUUCCUCUCCUCUGACGGCGACUAGACCAUGCAACUGCAACUCCCCCGUCCGCAUGAUUCUGUACGCAACUGGUGAACAAGUCUCUGCCGUCCGCACAAUUCUGUACCCAGAUAUGUUGUUAAUUAAUUAUGAUUCAGUGUUUAAGUUCAGACUUGGGAUACUAGCCUUAAGCAGCAGACUAGUUGGUUGCAACUUGCUCUCUCUCUCUCUCUUUAUAUAUAUAUGCACCGCAGCAUGCAGCAGAUGGAAACAACCCAGCUCCAGGCCUCCAGCUCCAGCUCCGGCUCCAACUCCAACUGGUGCUCGGAGACUUGAUGAUGCCUUCCCCUCGCGAUGUCCAUCUCCUCAGCCUGCUGGUGCUUGCCAUGGCGAUGGUGGUGACACCAGCAGCGCAGGCGCAGCCUUCCCCCGGGUACUACCCGAGCUCCAUGGUCAGGUCGAUGGCCUACUCCGAGGGCUACAACAACCUGUGGGGCCCGCAGCACCAGACUCUCUCGCAGGACCAGAAUGCGCUCACACUCUGGAUGGACCGCACCUCAGGCAGCGGGUUCAAGUCGAAGCGUUCGUACCGGAACGGCUACUUCGGCGCCUCCAUCAAGGUCCAGCCCGGCUACACCGCCGGCGUCAACACCGCCUUCUACCUGUCCAACAAUGAGCUCUACCCGGGGAACCACGACGAGAUCGACAUGGAGCUGCUGGGCACGGUCCCCGGCGAGCCCUACACGCUGCAGACGAACGUCUACGUGCGCGGCACCGGCGACGGCUCCCACCUCGUCGGGAGGGAAAUGCGAUUCCACCUCUGGUUCGACCCGGCCGCGGACUUCCACCACUACGCCAUCCUCUGGAACCCCGACGAGAUCGUCUUCCUCGUCGACGACGUGCCCGUGCGCCGGUACGAGCGGAAGGCCACGACAUUCCCCGAGCGGGAGAUGUGGGCGUACGGCUCCAUAUGGGACGCCUCCGACUGGGCCACCGACGGCGGACGGUACAGGGCCGACUACCGCUACCAGCCCUUCGUGGCUCGGUUCCAGGGGUUCAGGAUCGCUGGGUGCGAGACCGGCGCGCCCGCGAGCUGCCGCCCCGUGCCGGCCUCUCCGACGGGGGCGGGGCUGAGCGCGCAGCAGAGCGGCGCCAUGCGGUGGGCGCAGCAGAGCUCCAUGGUCUACUACUACUGCCAGGAUUACACCAAGGAUCACGCGUUAUACCCCGAGUGUUAAGCUCGAUCGUAAAUCGAUCAAGAUUACUGUUCUGCGACUCCAUUUAUGAUUGAAGCUCAGCAAUGGAGGCUACCAAAUUCUGAAGAUAUCUCCCCCCACCUCAACUUUCAGUAUACCUUCAAUCAAGGAUCGGUUGCCGGUGGGAGCAUAUAUCAGCAUGAACCGCAAACCAAGGUAGUUGCAAACAAAGCAAUUCAUUUAAAACCUUGCAAGAACAUCAAUAAGCUGAAGAUGAG
Phragmites australis (common reed) is the source of this 1468-nucleotide RNA transcript. It is a transcript of the gene named probable xyloglucan endotransglucosylase/hydrolase protein 32, with no coding region annotated. Lineage: Eukaryota; Viridiplantae; Streptophyta; Magnoliopsida; Poales; Poaceae. The transcript has 4 exons. The record is from RefSeq and is a predicted model, not a curated record.